CUUGCUUUAGUUUAAUUUAAGAAUGUGGGUUUUGGGGAUCCUUGGUCUCGUGGAGAGGUUUGG
This 63-nucleotide transfer RNA is filed under the name Echinococcus canadensis. RNAcentral's name for it is "tRNA-Pro". The record is from RNAcentral. Lineage: Eukaryota; Metazoa; Platyhelminthes; Cestoda; Cyclophyllidea; Taeniidae.